This 71-nucleotide transfer RNA is filed under the name Mycetomoellerius zeteki. Its description in RNAcentral is "Trachymyrmex zeteki tRNA". It matches the Rfam family "tRNA". From Rfam's summary of the family: Transfer RNA (tRNA) molecules are approximately 80 nucleotides in length. Their secondary structure includes four short double-helical elements and three loops (D, anti-codon, and T loops). The record is from Rfam by way of RNAcentral. Lineage: Eukaryota; Metazoa; Arthropoda; Insecta; Hymenoptera; Formicidae.
GCCUCGGUGGUCUAACUGGUAAGGACUCUCACGGAAUAUAAGAGAUUCGGGUUCGACUCUCGGCCGAGGUA